Molecule: non-coding RNA, 67 nt
Organism: Caenorhabditis elegans
Lineage: Eukaryota; Metazoa; Nematoda; Chromadorea; Rhabditida; Rhabditidae
Source: Ensembl
UAUCCCACUUGAUAGUGCAAUCGAGUAGUUUGACAGCUCAACGAGAGCCGUAAAAAUGGCCUGAUCA